AUAUUUUUCUUUGUUUUGUUUUCAAGACAAGGUUUUUCUGUGUAGCUCUAGAUGGCUUAGAACUAACUCACUCUGUAGACUAGACUGAGUCUGCCCUGGAACCCAGAGAUUCAACUGCCUCUUUCUCCUAAAUGCUUGGAUUAAAGGUGUGUGCCACCGUGAUUGUUACUAUACGUUUAUAAGCUUGGAUAUUACUGUGGACCAUGGUUUUACAUGCUCUUGUUUUCCCAAGUUCAUAAACACUGUAUCACUGAGAAUUCCCAGUGAACCCAUGUCCACCCCUACCUUCUAGCUACCCACAAGGAAACCAAAUCUUUUUUUUUUUUUUUAAGAUUUAUUUAUUAUUUAUACAACAUUCUGCCUGCACACCAGAUCUUACUAUAGAUGGUUAUGAGCCACCAUGUAGUUGCUGGGAAUUGAACUCAGUACCUUUGAAAGAACAGCUAGUGUUCUUAACCACUGAGCCAUCUCUCCAGCCCCUGUCAAAUCUUGUUAGUGCUUAAGAUGUGAUUAGGGGCCUUACUAGGACAAGUGUGUGUGUGCAUCCUGGAAAAUUAGAGGUACAGUGGUCUUGCUUUCAGAAUCCUGACAACAUGAUGUUUUUGGCAGGAGCACAAGGUCAUCCCUCUCAAUCAAGGCUUUGCCCACUUGUCUUGAUUCCUGAGUUUUGAGCCCUAAAACUAAGGUGUGUAGUGGUCAGGUCUCUGAGGUCCCCACAGUCCUGUCUCUUCUGACAACUGAUCCCCUGGUGAGGAGCCUAUAUCUGUAGCUCUCAUCCUGGAGGGAUAGAUCUCCCUGUCAGCUCCCCAGCAUGGCAAUGCAGUAUCUCAUGCUUUUGGCUGGCCUUCUGAUGGGAGGUCUGAGCAAGUCCACAGAAAGCAAGGCCCAGCAACUUGAGUGUUGUAUGGAUGUGGUAGACUUCAAUACUACCUGCCCAAGCACAGGUCUGUGUGGCCCAGGUUGCUACAGGCACUGGAAUGCAGAUGGGAGUGCUAGCUGUGUCCGAUGCUGGAAUGGGACCCUCCCGACAUACAAUGGCUCUGAGUGCAGAAUUCUCACUGGCCGGGGCAUGCAGUUUCCCAUGAACAGAAGCACAGGGACACCUGGACAGCCACAUUUUGGGGGUCCUCAUGUGGCAGCUUCCCUCUUCCUGGGGACACUCUUCAUCAGCACAGGCCUCAUCCUCUGUGUGGCUGGGUUCUUCUACCUCAAGCGCUCCAGUAAGCUUCCUGAGGUUUUCUACAGGAGAAACAGAGGCUUCAGUGGUCCCCCUGCCACAGUCUUCAGCCUUAUUGUCCCAAGAGUCAUCUAUUCAGUGUGUGGGAGCCAUCUACCCCAUUGCCAUGUUCAGGGGACAGAGAGUCAGGUAGGUAAAGAGGAGCCCCUCAGCAGGAUCCAGUACCAUCUGUUGUCCAGUGGGACUGGCAGUGUAGCACAACCCAUCCCCUUGUGCCCUUGGCCAGGACCUGUAUCACAUAUAACCCUUCCCAUUUCAGGGCACUGUCUUGCAUGGGACAACAACCCCAGCUCCUUAGUACCUGAGGUAGAAGGUGCCAAUCAAGCACGGCAUGGUCCUUCAGAUAAGACUACAGAUACAUCACUAAGCUUUGUGGGGCCCUGACAAUUUAUGGAUCUCAGUCACCCUUGAGAAAAGCAGAGCCCUCUACCCUGGCUAGCUGAGUCCAGCUUAGUGGUCACACUCAAAGCCUGUGUGGAGAUGUUUGUCUGCUGAUUAGUGGUGGAACUGGUUAAGGAGUGCAGAGAGCACAGGGAUUCUGGAAGUCCCUGGUGGUUUGAAUGAGAAUGCCUCCCAUAGGCUUAUAUACUUGAAUGCCAAUCAGGGAAUGGCACUACUUGAGAGGGAUUUGAAGGUGUGGCCUUGUUGGAGGUUUGUCACUGGGAGUGGGCUUUGGGGUCUCAAAAGUUUAAGCCAAGCCUAGUGGCUUUCUCUUCCUGCUACCUACAGAUCUGGAUGUAGAACUCUAAGCUCCUCUUCCAGCAUCAUGUCUGCCUGUGUGCUACCAUGCUGAUAAUGGACUAAACCUCUAAAACAUCAGCCAGCUCCUGGAUGAAGAACACAGGUAUCAUACCUCCCAUUCCCACAUACGCACAGAA
Meriones unguiculatus (Mongolian gerbil) is the source of this 2115-nucleotide RNA transcript. It is a transcript of the gene named chromosome 3 C1orf159 homolog, with no coding region annotated. The transcript has 9 exons. NCBI's taxonomy places the organism in Eukaryota, Metazoa, Chordata, Mammalia, Rodentia, Muridae. The record is from RefSeq and is a predicted model, not a curated record.